UAGCUUGCUACCAGGCGUCGAGCGGCGGACGGGUGAGUAACGCGUGAGAAUCUGCCCAUUUGUGGGGGAUAACUCGGGGAAACUCGAGCUAAUACCGCAUAAUCCCUACGGGGGAAAGCAGGGGACCUUCGGGCCUUGUGCAGAUGGAUGAGCUCGCGUCGGAUUAGCUUGUUGGUGAGGUAAAGGCUCACCAAGGCGACGAUCCGUAGCUGGUCUGAGAGGAUGAUCAGCCACACCGGGACUGAGACACGGCCCGGACUCCUACGGGAGGCAGCAGUGGGGAAUCUUGGACAAUGGGGGCAACCCUGAUCCAGCCAUGCCGCGUGUGUGAAGAAGGCCUUCGGGUUGUAAAGCACUUUCAGUAGGGAGGAAGGCUUACCGCUAAUAACGGUGAGUACUUGACGUUACCUACAGAAGAAGCACCGGCUAAUUUCGUGCCAGCAGCCGCGGUAAUACGAAAGGUGCGAGCGUUAAUCGGAAUUACUGGGCGUAAAGCGCGCGUAGGCGGUUUGUUAAGUCAGAUGUGAAAGCCCCGGGCUCAACCUGGGAAUUGCAUUUGAAACUGGCAGGCUAGAGUGCAGUAGAGGGAGGUGGAAUUUCCGGUGUAGCGGUGAAAUGCGUAGAGAUCGGAAGGAACACCAGUGGCGAAGGCGGCC
RNAcentral lists this ribosomal RNA (656 nucleotides) under Alcanivorax sp. B2. RNAcentral's name for it is "bacterial SSU rRNA". It matches the Rfam family "Bacterial small subunit ribosomal RNA", at positions 76 to 726 of the family's 1533-position model. Lineage: Bacteria; Pseudomonadati; Pseudomonadota; Gammaproteobacteria; Oceanospirillales; Alcanivoracaceae. The record is from RNAcentral.